GGCAGGUAGCCUAGUGGUUAGAAGGGUCGGCAGGUAGCCUAGUGCUUAGAAGGGGGAGGCAGGCAGGUAGCCUAGUGCUUAGAAGGGGGAGGCAGGUAGCCUAGUGCUUAGAAGGGGGAGGCAGGUAGCCUAGUGCUUAGAAGGGGGAGGCAGGUAGCCUAGUGCUUAGAAGGGGGAGGCAGGUAGCCUAGUGGUUAGAAGGGGGAGGCAGGUAGCCUAGUGGUUAGAAGGGGGAGGCAGGUAACCUAGUGGUUAGAGCGCUGGCACUAGUAACCGCUAGAUCAAAUCCCAGGGCUGACAAGGUAAACAUCUGUCGUUCUGCCCCUGAACAAGGCAGUUAACCCACUGUUCCUAGGCCGUCGUUGAAAAUAAG
Molecule: long non-coding RNA, 373 nt
Organism: Oncorhynchus tshawytscha (Chinook salmon)
Lineage: Eukaryota; Metazoa; Chordata; Actinopteri; Salmoniformes; Salmonidae
Source: Ensembl